Peromyscus leucopus (white-footed mouse) is the source of this 19527-nucleotide long non-coding RNA. RefSeq lists it as uncharacterized. The transcript is spliced from 2 exons. The record is from RefSeq and is a predicted model, not a curated record. Lineage: Eukaryota; Metazoa; Chordata; Mammalia; Rodentia; Cricetidae.
GAAACCCUGUCUUGAAAACCAAACAAAACAAAACCAAAACAAACAAAAAACAACAACAGCAACAAAAAACCAAACCUCAUUCAUGUAACAAACAUAGUUCCCUUUAAUGUAGAAAUGUUGACAUCAGUAGCUUAACUACAUAUUAUUUUUCAAUCUGAGACACCAAUUGUGAGUUAAAAGAGGGCCUACUAAUAGUUGUCUUAUGAUGAGUGACUUUUAAACUAGGACCAUUCCAGGGAACCUCAUAGUGUCAUCUUGUGUCUUGACAACAAAAUGUUUAAGGUAAGCUUUAAAUCUUACGUCACCCCUAAGACACAUACCCAUAAAGCCAUUGCUCAAUUGUCAAGUCAAGGAGCAAUUCUGUAAGCUUACCUUUGCAGCCCUACUUAAAAAUAACAGCAACCCUAUGUGUCCCUGCACAUCUUCCAUUGUGUGAUAUACUUUAUUUACCUUCUUUCUUCUGCCUCUCAAUAAUAAUAUGGACGUUUGCAUAUUUGUCUCACUGCUAUAGUCUUAAUGUGUAAAAUAGUGUCUAGCUCACAGUAACUGCUUAUUGAAUUAUUUUUUUCUCAUCCAUUAUGGAACACUGAUUGUGUAUCGGGCAAAGUACUAAAAGCUAAACACUGAUUUUCCUCUGCUGUCAUCUGUCUAACAAAUGACUUGAAAGUAUACUUACAGGUGAUGUAAAAGAAAAACUGAGCCUCUGUAUGGUGGAUUUAUGCUUUUUUUCUGUCACAAAUAAACUUUACAUAUAAUUCCUUAAAAAAUUGACACCUUUUCAUGAUAUUUUCCCAAUUAUCUUCUCAUAAAUUUUAAUAGCCAUUUUACAUGUCAAUUCAUAGUGCCUGCAUAAUAAAUAGAUUAUUGAUAAAAAUCAAGUAUCUAAUGACAAUAAGAAGUUUCAAAUUAUAUCUUGAGUACUGAAAAGAAUAGCUCUAAACAUUGGAGCAGAGAUGCAUAGGAAGAAUGAAAAUAAUAUAUUUAAAAUAUUUAACAAAGACUCAACAAAAUAGCUUAAAGGAAUUAACAUUUAAUAAACUACAAAUUUGUGGGUUUUCCACUUGUCAUUCUCCCCAAGGACAACAAGCCAAAGCUUGGAAAAUCGAGGACCUUGUCUUCUGGCUGAGGUAGCUCUGGGGCCCUGCACAGCAAGACACUUCAUCUUUUUCUGCCUUAGCUUUAUGGUUUAUGAGCUCAUGUAUUCUCCAAGGUCCUCGUAUGAGAUUCCUGUAUCUGCAAUAUCAAAAGACCAAAAAUGAAAUCAGGUAGAGCAAUGUUUAAUAUUUCACAGCCCCAGAGACUGAGCACAGUUCUCAGAAAUCAAGGUCUUGGCAGGGGCACCCAUUCUCUGAUAGCUCUGAGGCUCACUCCUCAUCUCCUGUUCUUCUUCUGUGUGUGUGAUCCUUGCUGCUCCUUCAGGCACCUCACUGUAGACAUCUGACUAUCUCUCCACUUUGUCUCCACAGUGACUUCCUUCUGUGCAGUCUGUCUGUCUCUGGGACCGGUCCUAUCGAAUUAUUUGCCCACUGUAAUGGCCCCACUUUAAGCUCUCUGUGAAGACUAUUCCCACAUAAGAUAACUUUCUGACUACUGAGAUUUAGGAUUCUACAUAGUCACAAUUCUAAGCAAUAUCAAGUAAAAUUAAUGACAAUUUUUACAAAUUGCAUAUUGAUUUGUAAUGAGCCCAAGUUAAUCCUUUCAAAUGUCUUUUUCCUCCCAACCUCCCUGCCCCUAGUCUAAAUGCAAAAGCCUGUGAUUUCAUUAUGGGAAAGGGAAUCGUUUCCGUGAUUCAUACAACAUUUUUAACAUUGUUAUUUAAUGGUUUGCAGAGUAAUGCUUAGACAAACAUCGAAAAGAAAUAUGAUUUGAGUACUAAAGAUAGAUUUCACUAUUAGUACUGAAGUAGGCAGUGUAGACUGGACAAUAAGAUGUCAUAAACUUUGAGCAACUCUUCGGGCAGCUAUUUACUCUUGUAGCUACCUAAGAAUAAGAUGGAGUGAAACAAGUUUUUGUUGUGUCACAUUCAAGCAGUGGCCGCAGGAGGCCACCAGGGUAGAUUAUUUAAAGACUGGUAAGCCAGUAGAAGCCAAAACUAAUGCCCACAGUGCAUCACCACAAAUUCACAUUUGCAUGAGUAUAUUUAUAAGGUGAAUGGCUGGGCCAAUUUUCUGUGCUAUGAAAACUCACUUGUUAUUUCUCUUUAUAAGAAAUUCAAUGUCAGUUACAUCCAAAACUCCUUAGUCUAAUAAAUUUUAUUCUCUUUUCUAGCUACAUGAAAAACUGUUACUUAAUUAUUCAGAGAUUAUAAAGUCAAUAUCUCUUGCAAAUACAGUUGUUUUUUGCACAGUUAUUUGUAACUUUCAGAAGUUUGUAGUGUGGAGUGUUUCCACAUGUCUUUACCAGUUACACUGUAGAUAAACUGAAAGACACAUUCAUGAGAAUAUGACUUUAACUCAAUCUCAGUAUUUUGGGAUAAAACACUGCAUAAUAAGACAAUUAUUUACAUACACUCAACAAACUUCUAUUGGAAAUAUAAAUUGCGAUUUUCUUUGAUGAGUAUUUAUAAAUAGAGUAUGACUGCUUGGUUACAUAUUUUUAUGAAAAGUUAAUUUUUUCAUUAAAAAAACUUUUUAAAAGAGGCUAUUAUUCUUUAUAAUUAGGAGUAAAACAGAUUCAUUAUGAUUUUGUCUUAUAGAACAUUAAUAGCACCUCACUAAUUAUAUUGGAUUAAAGUAUAAUUAGUUUAUGUGUAAACCUGAAAUAUUCAGUUGCAUGCCUUGGUAAGAACUAUUCAUUAAUGUUUCCAUCAAGCCACCAGCUUUCCUGUGUUUAUUUAAAUACACCUGUCAGAAUCUGAGUUGAACAGAACACUGUGGCAUUGAACACUGCAUAAUAAACAUCUCAAAGUUUUUUUUUCUCAUCUAUCUUGACUAUUCAAUGUCUCACAAAUGUGUAUAUUGCAAGUGUUUUUAUGUUCUUGCUGCUUCAAAAUCAUCCCCGUUUAUAAACAUGAGCAGUUAAAUUUAAAAUGUGUUAUAUAAUCUAUAUGCUAUGUUGGAAAAACUAUUACAUAACUUUACUCAUCAUGAGUGUAUGUAACUAUGUAUGGUGUAUGCAUGUGUGUGUGAAUAUGUUUGUGGGUACCCUUGCCGCUGUGAGCCUGUGUGGUGGCAAAAGGUAGGGCUAAUUGUCUUCUAUUGCUCUCCACCACAUUUUUUGAGACAGGAUCUGUCGCUGAAUCUAGUCCUCACUGUUUUUGCUAGAUUUGCUGGCAAGCAGAACCCUCACUCCCUAACACUCAGGUCACAGAUGCACACUGUGGAUUCGGACUCUCCUGUGGGUGCCUGGUAUCCAAACUCAGUUCUUACAUAGAAAGUGUUUACACACUGACCCAACUCCUUGGCCCUAUGCAAUAUAUUUACAAUGAGUGUUCUAUACUACUUUAAUAAAAUGCAUUAUAUAUGAAAAUUUCAUUUAUAAAAUUCAAACUGUAUAGAGUCAAACAAAUAUAUUUAAAUAUUUAAAUAAUUAUGUAUAUAUUAUCUGCAUAAAUAUAUACCAAUACUGUCACACAAAUGUUCUUCCAUCAUUAAAAUCACUGAAUCCCAUCCCAAAUAACAAAAAUCAAGUAUUACUUAACAUCUUUUUAGGGCUGGUAUUUUCAAACUUCACUAUAAGACAUGUUGCCUAGCAAAAAGGUAAAUACAGUUAUGAAGACACAAUGAUAAGGUAUUAGGAAUAAAUACUGGCCUAGAAUAUAUAUUUUCCUCUUGAGAGACUGAGCUGUUUGCUCUCAGGAGUUUAAUAAGUGUGGGAGUCUGGAUAGGAGGGCAGCUGCCUGAAUUCAGAACAAACACAGGAGGCAAAAAAUGUUUAGUUUGACUGACAUGAGUUGACUUUUCUUUCCCCUUUCUCUGUUUUUCUUUAAAAAUACUUUAGAAGACUUUUUCACUUGUUCCUAACACUCUUCCUGGGAAUAUCAGAGAAAGAAACCAUGCCCGUAUAUUUUCCUGUAGUCCAAAGGUACCAGAGAAGAAUAGCCAGGUUGACCCAUGUACUUUUCACAUGUUUCUUACAUAGAACAGACUCAACCACUGUUAACAAAUACAGUUCAUGCUUGUAGCAGCUCCUGUGUGAUUAGGUGCACAUGCUCAAAAGUAGAGUGCAUAAUUCCUGCUUUUAUACACAUAUAUUUUGGUUGAUGGAAAAAGGAAAUCGUUGAUCAUAAAAAUGCAUUCUAAAGUUAGUAAUAGAAUGUGUCAAGUAGCCUUUGGAGCACAGCAUAGAUUAUGAGGUAGGUAUAACCCAUGAUAUUUGCUCUUAAGGUGUUUACUGUGCACUUGCAAAGGUACAAAGUGCAUUACCAUGAUCUGCUGAGGGACAUGAAAUGACAGCAUGGGAGGCCAAAUAAAGAGAGAUUUAAUAUGGGCUAUGAUUUUUCAAGUUUUAUGAAAGAUGUAGAGCUUGCAUUGGUAUGGAAGAGGAUUAAUAGCCACCUACUCUAAGAAAGCAGGAUGCCAUUAAUCUUGGUGCCCACAAUAAAACAAGGGAGUUUAAAGCAAACUGACCUUGUGCCUGAAAAAUAUGCAUAACUUAAAGAAUUAUCUCUCUCAGCUGUCAAGUUGAAUACUGACCAUUGAAAGGAAAGCUAUACCAUUUAAGUGGUUGUAGUAGUUGGUUUAAUAGCAGUGGUUUAAUAGUUGUAGUAGCAAUAGCUACAAGUAGCAAGAACAUUCAAAUGUUUUAUUAUGAUUUUAUGUUAAAAUUCACUGCACUGAUUUUGUAUAUAAAGAAAAUAAACUUCAAUGAUGUCAAAUGUCUAAGCUAACAGAGUUUUCAGUAUUACAUCUGAAAGUAAGUUUCCAAUUAAUAUAUGAUUGGUCCUAAUUGUAUUUUAAAGUGGUAGCAUUGUGUUCUUCUUGCUUUUCUUUAGAAUAUUCCAUCUGGAUUUUCCCAUGUAUAUGGGGAGGAAACAACCAGAUAGCAUCUCUUUCAUUAUCUUCAGCUGUUUACUGGAGUGUUUGUUUGUUUUUCUUUAUUUGCAAUGCUGCACAUUGAACUCAGGACCUGAUGCGUAACCAUUUAAGCACUCUAGUUUUGAUCCACAUCCACAGUCCUGUUUCUUAAAGCUGCUGUAAUUGAUUAUUGAUUCAUUGGUUGAUUAUAAAAAGUUAGCAGUUUAUAAGUCCCAGUUGGUUUUUUUUCCGCCUCUGGCAAGUGAGAUGUAACAAUGGAACAUUCCUUUUCACAGGCCCAGUCUUGGUGGGACUGGGAGAUGAUGUUGAGUAUCUCUGAGGUUUAUUUAACUUCCUGGUCUCUGCAUUACCACUUGCCCAGGACAAUUACUUUGAAAUAUUGUACCAGGGUACUAAUUUCGGUUCUUUUUGAAUUUGUUUUUGUUUAAAUGUACAUAAAUCCAUUUGGUGGAUAUCACUGUUUUUUGUUUGUUUGUUUGUUUGUUUGUUUGUGGCUAAACACUCCUCAGAAAUCAAAAAUACAGAAAUCUAAAGGACUUUGUAACUUAGACCAGGAUUACCAAAAAUCAUGGAAGAAAAAUAAAUACAGGGACCACAACCAAGUAAAGAAAGCCAACAAUGCACCUAUUUUUCCUAUUCAUUUUCCAAACUAGAACUUGAUAAUUUUAUUUGAGGUUUUUAUGUGCACACUUCAGAUAGAAUAACGUUUUCAUCUAAAGAGGCAGUAAGUACCCCCUUCACCUUUUGACAAUUCAGUGCUGAGAGAGCUGGGGAUGUGGUUGAACUUGCUUCUCUUAUUCAUAAAGUCUACAGCAUUUAUUUUCUUGCCUCAAACAGUGUUGCUGGUGAGAACAAAGCCAGGUUCUAACCUCCUGAGCUGCACCUGAUUCUGGUAGACAUUGGACACGAGUUCUCUGACAUCUACCUCUGUCUUCUUCCAGACAGUAUUUACAUUUGGACAACAUAAACUAAUACAAUUAUGUUGAUUUUUUCUAACAUUUAGCAGUUUACAUAUUUAGAGCUUUAUUCAUUUAGGAUUAAUGCAAUCAAUUAUGUCAAAGUUUAAUUUUGAAUGUUUAUGCCCAUAUUUCCUCAGAGAACUUUAAUAUUCUCAAAGCAAAUGUCAUCUGCUAGUGUGUCAAUUAUCAUUAUUACUGGCAACAUUUGCAUUUUUAAGUCACUGACUAAGAAUAAUCUAUUAGAAUUUACUUUACCUAUCAAAUAAAAUUAAAAUCACCAUUUAAAACUACUGGUAAAAUUCCUUCAAACAAAGGCCAAAAUAUUUCAAUUGUAAUUUCUCCCUUUAUUAUUGAAAAACAAUGAUGCAGAACUACCUAUGAAAUUGGAAAUAAAGGUCAAACAUGCAUUUCUGUGGUGGGCUUUUCAGUUCACUUCCCUGAAAUCUUAAGGGUAACACUAUAUUUUCAUAUAUGUCAUAUUACCUCCUCUUUCACUCUGGAGUUUUUGGAGAAAACACAGUUGGCUACCUUCUUUACAUUAUUGCCUUUUCUGUAGAUUUGUCUUUAAAAAUUAACAUAGGUUGAAACUGUCUUCUUUUUAGGAAGGUGCUAAGGGUUCUAUGAAUUCAACAAAUAAACAAAUGUACUUAAUGAACCACAAUAAAGAAGAAGAAACUAUUCCACCAGCUCCCCCCACCAAAAAACAAAAACCCAAACCAAAACCCCUCCCAUUCUGUCUGUAAACAUACUCACGGUACCCCCUAACCAGAGGAAUCUACUGAACUGUCAACCACACUACAGUUUGGCAUUUUGUGAUACCAUAUAGAUGGCAUCAUAUGAAUGCCAUCGUGCUAUAUGUAAUCAUUCAAGACAUCUAUCAGCAUUGCCUUUGAGAUUUGUAAAUCACACAUGUAUGAGCAAUUCAUUGCUCAGUAUUACUCUGUUGCAGGGACAUGCUACAGUUUCCUUACUGUGCACCUUGUAAAGAAUAUUUGUGUAUAGAAGCUUAUUUGCAUUAAUUGAAUGCAGUUCUGAAUACAGCAGCUUUAAACUCUCGUACAUGAAGCUUUUGACAUUUUCAUUUGGGUAAACAUCUAAGAGGGGGACUGCUGGGGCAGAGGGAAAGUGAACAAUUAAUUUUGCAGAAUAUUGUCACACUGUUUUCUAGAGUGUCUGUAUCAUUUGUAUCCCUAACAGCAAGAUGUUCUAUCAUCUCGUAUCUUUGUCAACACUUGCUAUUAUCUGUUUUUAUUUAAUUUUGGCCAUUCUGAUAUUUUAUUUAAUUAUGAUUUUGAUUUACAUUUCCUUGUUGGCUUAAAUUUCUCCUCUGUUUAUUUCCUUUCCAUAUAGUCUUGUAGAAUGGUUUUCUAAGUUUCAUUCAUAAAUUAAAAUUGUAGAAUUUCUUUAUGUUGAGUUGGGGUGUUCUUUAUGUAUUCUGCAGCCAAGUCCUUUGUUUGAACAUUGGCUUGCAACUGAAAAUGAUUCCAUUUCAAUUCCUUUACCUGUUAAAUAGUAUGUUUUCUUUCUGUGUCAUAUUUUUACCAAGAACAACAUAGCAUAUGUUGAACAUAUACUGCCAAGGCCUCAUAUUUACCUGCAUUGAUAGAUAACAUUGCCUAUUCAUUAUCAUAUUUUUCAUUGUCUUCACUAUUCAACUAAUCCCUAUGAUGUCCCAUUCUGUAUCAAGUUCUCAUUGACUCCUUAAAACUCACAAUUUCAUUGUUGCACAUUACUCUGAUUGACGUUCUUUCACACACAUUUAUCCACAUCUCUCUUGCUGGCAAAACCAUCCCACUUCACGUCUCCUUGUCCUCAUGUUGAGCUUUCUAUUCAUUCUGCUACUUUGAUUAUUUUUCUGGAUUUAGUAGACAUGUGAGACGAAAAUAAUAUUUUCAUUGUGCUAUCCCCUACUAAAAAAUCUGCCAGCUUGCCACUGCCUAAAAACUGGUGUCCAAACUUAGAAACUUGUUACUGAAGGCCUUCCAUUUCACCCUUUUUUUUCUUUCUUUAAUCUACCUACGACUCUGUAUGAACACUCAGACACACUGAUAAUGUCCUUUUUCUUUUCUUUUCUUUUCUACACACCACAGCUAUGAAUAGACACAAAAGAAACAGUUCCUCUUCCGGAAGACACACAAUCUAGUUUAUGAAGCAAACUGGCUUUUUGUGUGGCAGAAAAGCUAACCAGCCAGUCUAUCUAUAUUCUGGAAUCUUUUUCAUGUUAGGAGACCAGAAAUACAGCUAUAUUUUCUAGCAAUAUUCUGUAACAUUUAUUUUUGUUCUGCACAGAAAGAGAAUCAAACAUGUUGAUAUUACACUGAAAAAAUAUAUCUUAAAUGUUUAUCCCAAAUGGCUCUAUUAAUCAUGACAAGGAACAGACCUUUGUAGUUUCCUAUUGUGUCUGACAUCUUUUGCUCAGCAGCCUUUGCUUGGGAUUUAUCUAUGAUGUUGUAUGAAGCUCUGGACUGUUCAUCCUCACCACAGUCUUGUGUCCAUUGUGUACUCGUUGUAUCAGUUCCCUUGAUUUGGACACAUGCGUUGAGGGAGUUUCGGGUUUGUGAUAUGAGAACCCAUGAACAUUUUCAUGUAUGUUAUUUUGUGAGCCUUCAUAAUCUUUUCUUCCACUCUGUGCUAGGAUUGAGAAAGCUAAAAUAUGGCAUACAUUGUCCAAGAGCUUCUGUGAAGGCUACCAGUCACCAAAGUGGUCGAUUUAUUUGAUAUAAGAAAGACUACUUUCUGGAAUCUAGUUUGGGAAUGGACACAUCUUGGUAUUAAGUGUAAUAAACAGAUAAAAUUAGAAAGAGACACUAGGGUAUGAAGUCCUGACAGAAUAGGUAGUGUUGCUUCCCUGCAGUUUCAGGGUGACAAGGGUGCAGGUGGCUUGUGGGGGAAUGAGUGUGUUUGAAGACUGAGGCGCAGAGCCUUGCUUCCCGUACAAUAGGUAGUGUGUGAAGCAACGCUUCAUGAACUUUUUUUCUCUUUUUUUUCAUUUAAAAACAUGUGCCUAAGGUUUCAAGUGCUUUUAAAUUAGCGUAGUCUUGAAUGGAUGCUAAUAAAACUACUGUGUGUGACAAUUGAUAAUAAAGUCCUUGUGUCUUGUCGGCAUGUGGAUGGUGUUUUUAUUAUUCAAAGGAGAGCAUGGGGCUUUGUUCAUUUUAACAAAAUACUUCUCCAAGGCUAUUUGAACCUGCCUCCCUUUCACUGCUACACCACUGAACUGUCUCAGAAAUUCACUACUUUUUCUUGCCUAAAUAAUUUCCAAUAAUCCAGACCCAUACAUAUUGGUAGCUGAACACGUUGAAGAGCAUAAACAAAAAUAAUAGACGUUGUGCCAGUGAAGGAGUACAAACCCAGACAAAGGUCUUGUGCCAAUUAGGACAAUCUACAAACAGCUGCUGUGUUCCCGGUGGUUUCAGCACCGCGGCCAGCGACUUGAAGAAGAAAUGAGCUCAUUCUUCCCCCAGCAGGCAGUAUUCUCUGGGUUCCUGUGUGGCUUCCCCUCUAGCAAGGAGCACAGACUCACAUUGUGAGCUUCGCUGUGGGCAGACUGAAAAGAUGCACAAGGCACUCUUAAUUGGGUUCAUUCAGAUUCUGGAAUUCUGAAAACUAAAAGGGUCUGUGAGGGAAGCUUAUAUGUUUUGUUACUAAAAUUUAAAUGUUUUUCAUAAAUGUAAACUUUAAAUUUAGAUAUAAAUGUCAAUAAUUUAUUGGAGGGUGAAAUUUUAAAAAGUCUUCCAAAGAGUUUAUUCUCAUUUAUUAUGAUAGCCUGAGGGUCAACUUUAUUGGUAUUGUGAGUAGUGCCAUUUGUAACAUAAUAUAAAGGCAUAUUUUCCCAAAGCAUUUUAUAAACAUAUAUGUUAUUUAUUUUAAUUAUUAUGAGUUUUAAAAAAAACUGUCUUUAAAGGAAAAUUAGCUGCUAUAAAACAAUAAAUUAAAGCCAGAUCUUAAAUUUUGACAUUCAUGAAAUCAGGCAUAAAAUGGGAAAAAUGUAAUAGCCAGUUUUUCCUGUAAGCAUGGCUCUAUCUUUGUAAGACUCCCUUCAUUGCAGGCACUGGCCUCAGCAGCUUCUUUGAGAAUGCCUGGCAUUCUUAGCUGAAUAAACCAUUACCAAGGUCACAUAUGACAAAUCCAGUGAUCACUCUUCUUUCCUCAUUUUAUUCAUAUGUUUUCAAGUCAUAUAGCUCACACUUUCCCCUUUCCUCACAUACUCUUGACUAUCCACUGUCCAUAUCUUUCUUGGCCUUUUGAGCUGACGUCUGUAGUGCAGGUCUGCUAGGCUGUCUGCUUGUAUCUUUCACCAAGGUGUCUUUGCUGUGACUUUUAUUAGGGUCUAUAUUCGAUGAAUCACAGUCAUGUAUGUGAUCCUGAUCUCCACAGAGAGCUCUAGCUUAUGAAUCUAAACACACAGCCGACAUUUCCACUAGAAUGUUUAAGAUGCAUCUCAGACUUCUCAAAGUGGUUAACAGAGCUGCUCAUCUUCCUUUAGAAGCAUCCAAUUUCCACAUCAGCAAUAACUGUUAACUUUUAUCCCAUGGCUCAAAGUAAAUACCCAGGAUUCGAGGCUGCAGAUAUAGUUCUGGAGUUAGGAGCACUUGCUUCUUCAGUGGAUCCAGGGUUGGUUUCUAGUAUCCACAUGGUAGUUGAAAAAUCAUCCAUGAUUCUAGUUGUUAGGGAUCUAAUGUCUUCCUCUAACAUCCUUGAGCAACAGAUAUAUGCAUGGUACACAUAUACAGAUGUAAACAAACAUUCAUUCACAUAAAAUUAAAAUAAAUAAAUCUUAAAUUAAAAAAAAAAAACUAGGAUUCAUCCUGUAUUCCUUACUGACUCCACCUGGAAAUGUGUAUGUGCACAUAUCACCAGUCAUUGAAAGGACAGUUAGGUCUACAUUCAAAAAGUAUUUCCAAUUGUUUUGGAAACAAUUAGCUGUUUCAAGAUUCACGCCACCACCAUCUGUCAGCACUAUGCCUACAACAGUGUCCUGAUCUCAUCUCUCCAGCCAGGCUGUUUACUCCCAUCUCCCUAUACUUCCUGCUUGUCAUGUGCACCAGGUCUUCCUGUCAAGCUUUCUGUUUCCUUUGUAUUGUUCCUAUUCAGAAGUUUCUUGUGUGCCUUUUUUUCUCUUUAUAAAACUGUCUCCAAAUGGUAUAUAACUACCUCAAACCAAAUAGCAAGCUGUUCUCUGUGAAUGCCACCUUGAUAUCCUAUAAUUUAUCUCAACCCUACCACUAUUUCUCUGGAAAUAGUGUCAGAUCACAUAGAUUGAGGGCUUAAAACCAAGAGACUACCCACCCCCCCACCCACACACAUACUUCAGAUGUCAGUCAUAAGCACAGGUUGACAUCUGUGCUUCUACUUGCUCAUCUAUAAAUUGAGGCUCCUGUGAGCCCCCUUUGGGUUGGAUUAAUUUACUAAAGUGUCUCACAAGCCUCAGGAAAAUGGUUUGUUUUGUUAUGAAGAACACUGCAAAGAAUACAAACAGCUAGAUGAAGAGCUGGAAAAAGCGUUGACAUUCCAAGUACUUUAUAGAUAAGUCACCCUCCUCCCCUAAGCCCCCUGCAUGUCAGUUGCCUUGAAAUUCUAUGAAUAUAGUUUUGGGUGACUUUGGUUAUUUAGCCAUAGAUGAUUAAGUAACAGGCAUGACUGAUCAACUUAAUCUCCAGCACCUCUGUCCUUAAGGUAAAGAUGAAAGUCCUAAACUCUAUCACACCAAGUCUUUUGAUUGAACAGACACCAUCUCAAAGCUACCUAGCAACCAGCCCACCAGAGAGAACUCCAUCAGGGACCACCCCAUCAGGGACCAUCCCACCAGUUACUAGCAUACAAGAAACAUCAUUUCACUCUUUAUUCCAGAUUUCCAAGGCUCUAGUAGCUUCUAUAUCAGGAAAUGGGAAUAUAUAACAAGUAUGUGUGUGUGUGUUUGUGUGUGUGUGUGUGUGUGUGUGUGUGUGUGUGUGUGUGUGUGUGUAGUUACAAAGCACAGCAUUGUAGCAGGAAUCACGUCCAUGUUUCUCACAGUUAUGCUUCUAGCAUAUAAAUUAUGCCUACCAUGAGGCAGUCAAUUUUACUAAGUGAUUCAGUGAACUAUCAGUAUAUUGGAAUUACCCAGAGAACAUGCUGGGAAAUUAUAGAAAGGCAUGUCGUACUUUACUGAUUUAUCCACAUUAUUCUCUGCAAUCAUCUGCCAUUUGUAUGUAGUUGUUUCAAGCACACAGGAGGGUUCUAGUGUGCCUCCUUUAAAAACACCAUAGUAAAUUGCAAAUGUACGAACCCCGUCUUUAGUUUUCAAUUAGCCUGAUACAAAUUUACAAGUAUUCCUGUGACUUAUCUUACUGAAGAGAGCUUAACCUUACCCAGUAGUGACUUUGGAGGUCCAGGCUCUUGCUAUUCAACUCUCAGUCAGUCCCCAUUCCUGGGCUAAACUGUCUAUUUUUGCCUGGUGAGCCCCAAGAGAAGUGGGUAUUUUUCUGUCUGAGCCUCAGGUUUAUCCAGAGGCUUCAAGUGGGAACCAUUUAUUGUCUUAUCCAGGUGCUGACCCUUUGACUAUGCCUCUGGCCUUAGCAUACUUAUUUGUUUAGCCCUGAGGCGGGAUGUCUAUUUUCUUUUGCUGGAUCCUGACAUGUUCCAUUUCCUGGGAGUCCCACCACUCAGACACGUACUAGUGUUUUAAGAGCAGCUACUUUUAUGCUGAAGAUUAUGAAAUCAUAAAAUUUAAGGGGUGGUAAGCAUUUUUGGUAUUGCUUUUCUCUGCAUCUUUAUAUUCAAAAUGUGAGCAAGAAUGAGCCAAGGGAUAAUAGUCAUACUUUUAAAGUAUUUAAGACAUCAAAAAUGCUGCAUUUAAUGAUUUUUUUUACAUCUACCAGUUUCUACAUGUCUCUCUCUUACACACAGAUAUACACUCACUACAACUGAUUUCAUAUCAUUUCAUGCUGUAGAGUUUUCCUCUGGUUGCUCAAAAAUUAGCUUUUCAAUUGUCAAUGUAAAGAGUACUUGAUAAAUGUUAUUUUCCUGUCUGUAUGUGUGAUUGGAAUAACUAGGGGAUGGGUCUAUGCCUUCAGGUUCUGACCUAGAGCAAGACCUACACCGCUAACAAUAGAGUAUUUCUGUAAUGGGGACCACAUCUUUUCUAGGCACUGUUUAUGUGUAAGGCCUCGUGGAGAGGAAGGCACUAAGCUCUCCACAAGUGCUGGGUGCUGUCAUAGAGGGGAGAAGCCAGUUCCUCAUAUCCCCAAAACCUUUUGAUGUAGUGUGUAAAAAAUGAAAUUCACUUCCUGGAUGGAAACUACUCAAUUUGAUCCCACCCAUCAUCCCUAAUUUGAUUUUUUAAUGGUGAGUCCCUCAUUUUAUUGGCUUACUCAAAAAUAAAGCAAUGACUAGCCAAUUAUUGAGUGUUUACUAACAUGUAGCUAACACAUUUCUUCUUGCUUUGGGGACAAGAUUAAUUAACAUAUAGACAAAAUUCUUCUGAUUGCAGCUAAACAGGACAUUUUUAUUUGUCUUGUAGUCCAGUUUGAGUCAAGAAUUAUACAUUAGACAGUAUUGUAUCCAUCAGAAAUAUAGAUUGUCACAUGUUUUCUGCCACUAAUAGCAACAAAGAACUGCUAGCAUUAGUUAUCCACCUUGUGACUUGGAAAGCCUUUACUUUGCUGUGGCUCUAUGGAGGUAGAUGUUGCUCCUUCUAUUGUUCAUGCCAGGAAAAUAUUUCAAACUUUCAACACUCCUGGGUCUGUACUAGUGUUCUAGGGCUGCAGGAUUCUACCUCCAUUGUGUCACCUGUAAAGGUUAGAGAUAGGCUUCUCAUCACCUCUAGUUUUCAACAAUGUAUGAUAUCUAAAAUACACUUAGCAACUCGGAGCUUCAUGAUAACUGAAGGAGCUACUGAUCCACUAUUGCAAACAUUUCCCAUCUGCAGAGAAUUUAAUAUGCACAUAGUUAAAACGGGGGAACUCAAAAUAGACCCCGGCUCACCAGUGUCUACGUUCCCUUGACAUGUGUGCAUUGAUUAUUGAUAUAUUGUGUUAUUUUGUCUAGUGAUAUUGAAUGAUUGAACACUAGAAAUGCAAUUGUGUACUCCAUUGCUUAAGAAGUAUGUGCAAUAAACCAAUAAUCAGCCACACAUUCAAUCAAACUAAUUCAUUCCUGUGUGUAAACAGCAACUCUAUAAAUAAAGUAUUUAUCUGCAAUUUAAUUAAAAGCCAGGAUUUAAAUUCCAGGAAGAGGCCUAAGUUAGAUUGGCAGGCAGAUACACUAAUGCAUUAUUAUUUUUUAAAUUAUACUAGAUAGGUCUCAUGGUAUAUUAAAUUUGAUAUGAAAAAAGAAAGAGUAUGAGGACUAAAUAUCUGAAAGACUAUAUUAUUGAAGCUACCAAUUGGUUUAUAAUGCAGAAAUUCAUGACCCUGCUUUCUUGUUUCUCUAAACAAACACUGAUUAAGAAGGAGUAUGCCUUCUGCUUUGUAUUACAGCCUCUUGGCUGUCUGCUCAUUGAAGCAUCUUACAGGCUAACUGGGUCCUGAGGGUGGCUUAUCUUCCACAAAGAUGGGGAUUUCUUAAGAACACAUCUUUGUGCAUUUCUUGCAGGAAUAACUGUGUUCAGUUUCCCUUAUUUUUAUACAAUCACUUAAAUUCAGCUAGUAUGGAAACUAGCAAUGAGUGCUACUUAUGAAUUUUAACAUCCCUUUCCUCUUUGAUAAAGAUAUGAACUACUAAUUUGAAACAUAUACCAUAUUUAUUGAUUUUAAGUAUUGAGAGUAAAGCACAUCAUUACAAAAUUUUGUCUUUUUAUUUAAAAAUAAAAGUAUAGGUCAUUAAAAUCUAAACCUUUUUUGCAUUUCUUGCAUUCCUGCUGACACUCUUAUAAGAGAUGAAAGAUAACACUUCAUUCUGUUUUUUCUGUCCAUUCAAAUGGUGUUAAAUCAACGGAUCAUAAACUACUUGAAAGUAAAACAAGCUCUUUAUUCAUACCUGACUAGAAGUGAGUUGCACUCUUAAGAUAUUACCCUAUCAAAACAUUUGGCUUCUACCCCUAGACAUAUUUUCUUUGCAUUUUUGUUUGUUUGUUUAUUUCAGAAAGUGUAAAAAACAAAAAAUGCAAGUCUUUCCAGAAUGUAAUCGUGUUGGAGGCUCUAUGACCCAUCACCUGGUCCAGCCACUGAAAGCUUGCAUGACUUGUCUUGAUUUUUCUUCCUUCAUGUUAGUUGCUAACUCAACAAGCAUCACCUUUCUAUGGCAUUUGCUUCAUACACUGUAGCCUCAUUAGGUUUUUUAUUCUGUACAUGCAAUAUGAAUAUUACAUUUCUCUAAAGCUUUCCAGUGAAGAGCUCAGUAGGUCCUUUUAUGGCCAUGUAAACCUUUCUAUUCCACCCAGCUGUUUCAUCUUCACAAGUGGCUAAAUAUUCGAUGGUAUUGGCUUGCAUUUCUAUAGUGUUUCCUCUGUCCAGCAUCCUUUGACUUCUGUCUACAUUAAUUCAUUUAAUAAUCACUACAGUCUUCUCUUUAUACAAAUGAGAAGAUUUAACCUCAUAGACAUUAGAUCAUUUGUUCAUUGUCACACACCUACUUGAUGGUGGACGGAUUUAUCCACUUUGGGUAGACUUAAGACUCUACACUCAGGUAUAAAGUCAGCUUCUUCCCCAUUCUUUAUUUUCCUCAUUAGUUAUGUGUGGAGAUUGGCACUGAUGUCAUCAAAAUUUCGGUGAAGCCAUAAUUACAUAUGUUGAUAGAAAUAAGUAUAAUUUUAGAAAUCUCAUACUCCCUGAACUAGAAGAUAAUACUCUGCUGAUAAUUUCAUGCAGACAUAAUAGUCGUGACAUAUCUUUAAUUUUAAUAACUUUGAAAGUUGCUUAUUACUGUCUUCUACAUAAUGCAAAACAGAGUUCUAGACCUGGAGACUUUCAAUAUCUGUUUUUCUGAGUCUACGGCUGACUGGCUUCUCUGAGAAAAAUAGGUACUGUAGUUGACUUUGAUCCUUAGCUGUCAGGUCACACCUGGAAAUUUGAUCCUUAAACCAACCCAAGUUUCUCCUUGUUUGUAGCUCAAGACAGUUUGAGUUUAUACGUUUAGUUUAUAAGCAAGUAUAACAUUGAGACAUUGCUCAAUACUCCAGAAUCAAUUGGGGAGGGAGAUAGUCAUAGAAGAAAAAAAAUCACUGAAAGAGUAAGUCUGAAAUUUUCACCACAUACCAUUUUGUGCUUUUAGAUUUUUUGUGAUUUAUGAAUAUAUCUUGCGUUCAAAAAUUAAAUCAGUGAAAAACAUGCCUGGGAUCUUAGAAUAACUCCUUGACAAGGAUCAAGACCAAGACUGCCCUUGACCUAGCCAAAAGAUCAAGGUGUUCUGAAAUACACAACAGUCUUGUGCAGUGAAUUAAUUGGAAUCAGCAAAGCAGUAAGAAUGGAGAGACAUAGGGCCUCAACAGGAAGCAACUGUGUAAAGAAAAGCACCAGAGAGACUAAUGGGGAAGAGAGAAGAGAGCCCCUGCUGGACAGCUCUAUACCAGCUCUAUACCAGCUGGAACAGGAGGGGAAGCAAGUUUAGUGGAGUCCAGAGGAGCCAUCAGUCCACAGCAGCCACAGGCUGUCUCAGCCCUGUUUUGGCUAUUCGACACCUUUAUGGUUGAAUAUGAAUUUUAUGACUUCAUUCGAUUUCUACAUUAAUUAUCAUUGAGAUUUUGAGAACAAUUUUCUUGGCUCUGUAUCUUCCUUUAGGCAGUUUUGGGUAUUUUAACUACAUUAAGUAUACAUUCACUGAACAAAGGAAUAAAUUUUUAGUUAUUUGUAUCAUCAGCUUUCUUUCAAAGCUGUGGUUUUGCAUGUAUCGGUCUUUUAUCUCCUUAGUUAAAUGUAUUGACAGGUGUGUUAGCGUUUUCAAAGCUAUUGUAAAUUGAAUUGCUUUCACACUUUCCCACCAAGGUGGUCAUUGUUGUAUGUGUUAACACAACUUACUUUUGUUUCUAUUUAAUACUGCAUAACUUUGCUUAAUUUAUUAGUUUUAAGCAUUUAUGUACUUUGUACCUAUGUAUGAAGUAUUUCAGGUUUUCAGCAAGAUACUAUGUCAUCUACAAACACACAGCAUUUUGUGUCUCCCUUUCUGAAUAACUUUUCUUCCCUACUUACCUAGCUUGAACUUACUGUAUGUAGGAGGGUAGGGUGGGCAUCCUUUGCCUUUUCUGACUACAGAUGAAAGUUUGAAUUUUCCUCUUUUGGAUAUGUUAGUUUGGGGCUUUUCAUUCUAUAUAAUUCUAUAUAAUAGCAAUUUCCUGCUAUUCCUGUUUUUUGUUUGUUUUUGUUUUUGUUUGGGGGAGUUGUUUUGUUUUUUCCAAUGUUUCUGCACCACUGACUGAAUCUCAUUACUGGUCAUCUCUCUGUUUAGACUUUCUGUUUUUCAGUGAGUCUCCAUAGGUGCUAUGAAUCCAUGAAUUAAUUCAAUUUUAUGGACACAUUUUUCCAUGUACUGGUGUCUGAUUGCAUACAGCAGACUCUUGUACUCUCUUAACCACCCAUGGGAUUCUAACCAUGGAAACUUUUACUCUUGCAUAUCCUCUUUGAACAGUUUUCUGGCCUGUGUCCUCUGCUUAUUUUUACUCUGAUUUUUUUUUUUCUGUUCUUUUAUUGGUGAAACUAGAUUUCCACAAUUCUGGAAAUAUAGUGAGUGGCUUCCUUGAAAUCUCCUUUUAUAUACUACCUGUUUCUGAGUUCCUUAGUCUUGCAGGGUUAAACCCCAACUUGUGUUUUGAAAGGUAAAUACUGCAAAAAUAAAGUAACCAUAAGACCAUAGCAAUGCUUAUUACUUUCCUCCCAACAUCUUAAGGAGAGUGACUAACUAUAAUGAAUCAUUAAACUAUACAAUUGCUGCUUUAAAUAUGGAAAAACUCACCUUCCACAAUUUAGUAACUCAGCAACAGUCCUACUUAGUUAGACUUGCAUACAUACAGAAGUAAUGAACUCAGACCUUAAUGACCCAUCAUAUCAGGGCAGAAUCCUCCAUGGUCCUGGGAGCAGUAAAUGCCUUGCUGUGACACAAUUUUUCUCAUGGAUUUCCUCUAAGAUACAGAAGUUUUCAUCCCAUAAAUAAAAUAACCGGAAAGCAUUGAAGGAUAAUGUUUAGUUAAUAAAGAGUGGCACUUUGGUGAUCAAGAUAAGCAAUAUCUGCUUUGUAACCAUGUAAGAUUUAUUUUUCACUUAAGUUCUCCUGUUUAGUUCCUGCCAAGAAAACCAAAGCAACACAUUUUCUAGAUACCUGGUCUAGAAUUCCUGGUGCAUAGUGUUAUUAGGCUAGCAUUCCUAGGGUACAGGGUCAUUAGCCUAGUAUUCAUGGUGUAUCAGGUCAUUAGCCUAGCAUUCCUGAGAAUAAGGAGUCAUUAGCCUAUCCUUCCUGGGGAUAUGGGGUUAUUAGCCUAGCAUUCAUAGGGAUAUGGGAUCAUUGGCCUAGCAUUCCAGAGGAUAAGGGCUUUGGCCUUGCAUUCCUGGGAAUAGGGGUCAUUAGCCUAGAAUUCCUAGGGGUAGAAUGUCAUUGGUGUAGCAUUCCUGGGGAUAAGGGGGUAAUUUGCCUAGUAUUUCUGAGGAUAUGGGAUCAUUACUUUAGCAUUCCUGGGGGUACAGUGUCAUUGGCCUAGCAUUCCUAGAGAUUAGGAGUCAUUUCAUUAGCCUACCACUCCUGGGGAAAAGUGGUCUUUAACUUAGCAUUGCUGAGAGUACAGUGUCAUUGGCCUAGCAUUUCUGGAGAUAAGGGGUCAUUAGCUUAGCAUUCCUGGGGUAUAGGGUCAUUGGCCUAAGUUUCCCAAUGAUAUGGGUCAUUCUCCAAAGUUUCUAAAUAAGUUCUGUGCUUGGGCUGAACCUCAGUGGUUAAGCACUUGCCUAGAAUGGGUAAGGUCCUGGGUUCCAUUCCCAGUACCACACAAAUUCAUUCUGUAUACCAUUUGUUUUCUGAUACUUUUACCAUGGAGGAAAAGGGUGGUGAAAAUGUUUCUAUUUUCUCAGCAUAAUUCUCCUCUUUCUGCUCUGAGAGUUCAGGCAUCAAGGGGCUCCUGAUCAGUGUAAACAAAAUUGUGACAUCAGUGAGAAUUUCUCCUUAAAGGUUACAAAGCAACAUCAUCUUCCACAUACCUCAGUGUCAUAGUAGAUGAUGACAUGGGACCUAUCAUUUUCCCUAACACAACUUUGACUUACCAUUAAAGGAAAUUCAUUUCUUUUAAUAUUGGGAGAUAAUCACAAUUCUCUGGUUCUUAGAAAUGAUGACAAUACAGUAUCUUGAACUAGUAUAAUUAAAAGGUAAAUACUGAUGCUCACAUAUUAAUUAUUUUUAAAUGUGUAUGGACUUUCUUGCUUGCAUGUAUGUCUGUGCACCAUGUACAUGACUGGUAAGUGUGUGGGCUAGAAGAGGGUGUUGGCUCUCCUGAGACCGGAGUUACAGCCAUUUGUGAGCUGCCAUGUAAUUGCUGGUAAUCAGCCACUGCUCUUAACUACUGAGCCAUCACUUCAUCCUCCAAUAUUCAUGUGUUUUGGUCAUACAAAUGACACUACUGUUCAUAGUGGAUGCUUCUUACAAGGUGAGGUCUACAUUAAUGUUCUAGAUUCAAAGGUCCUGGGGCUUUUUUUUUUUUU